RNAcentral lists this ribosomal RNA (251 nucleotides) under uncultured bacterium. RNAcentral's name for it is "partial 16S ribosomal RNA". It matches the Rfam family "Bacterial small subunit ribosomal RNA", at positions 524 to 776 of the family's 1533-position model. The record is from RNAcentral.
UACAGAGGGUGCAAGCGUUGUUCGGAAUUACUGGGCGUAAAGCGCGUGUAGGCGGUUUGCAAGUCAGACGUGAAAUCCCUCAGCUUAACUGAGGAACUGCGUCUGAUACUGCCAGACUAGAGUGUCGGAGGGGAUGGUGGAAUUCCCGGUGUAGAGGUGAAAUUCGUAGAUAUCGGGAGGAACACCCGUGGCGAAGGCGACCAUCUGGAAGACACUGACGCUGAGACGCGAAAGCGUGGGUAGCAAACAGG